This 29-nucleotide non-coding RNA is filed under the name Rattus norvegicus (Norway rat). The record is from RNAcentral. Lineage: Eukaryota; Metazoa; Chordata; Mammalia; Rodentia; Muridae.
UGUUUUGGCGUUGCAAUGAAAAUGGGUUU